This is an RNA transcript of Onychostoma macrolepis, 887 nucleotides long. It is a transcript of the gene named transmembrane protein 107, with no coding region annotated. Lineage: Eukaryota; Metazoa; Chordata; Actinopteri; Cypriniformes; Cyprinidae. The record is from RefSeq and is a predicted model, not a curated record. The transcript has 7 exons.
UCUGACUCUGGCCCCGGGCCCCGGUUACUGUGGUCUCCGCGCCGGCAGGUGGCGACGUGAGCGCGCCGGCGCUCGUGCUCGAGGAAGACCGUUGCUGUAGUAACGCGGACGUGCGCGCGCCUGAUGAUAAACAUUGAAUAUCUGCGUCAGUGGAGAUGACGAGGUGUUUGAGUCUGUGUUGAUGUGUUUGUGAGUGAUGAAGAUGAUGAUGAUGAAGAUGUGAAGGUGGGAUGUCUGCGUUAAAGAGUCUGGUUCCUGCGCGUUUCCUCACGCUCGCCGCUCACCUGGUCAUCGUUAUCACCAUCUUCUGGUCACGGGACAAUAACAUCCAGUCAUGUCUGCCGCUGGAAUUCACUGAAGAACAGUUCAAAACAGAAGACACACGGCUGCUGGUGGCUCUGUCUGUGACUCUGGGGCUGUUUGUGAUUGAACUGGCUGGGUUUCUCUCUGGAGUCUCCAUGUUCAGCAGUAACCAGGCCCUGCUGUCUCUGAUCUCUCACUCCAGCGCCUGCGUCAGUCUGUCCUGCUUUGUUUUCCAGCAGUGGCCCUGCUGGACGUACUGGAUCAUAUUCAGCUUCUGCAGUGUGAUUCCAGCUCUCUUUGAGUUCUUUCUGCUGGUUUCGCUGCAGUCGAUGUGAGUGAUUCUUCAUCUGAGGACUGGAGGAUGUGAAGAAGACACUGGUUCUGUCGGAUCAUGAUUUCACAGUGUCUUGUGCAGAUAGAGACGAGCUCUGCUGGAGAAAUAGAGAGAUUUAAUGAUUGGCACAUCCCUGGCCCAAUGAGCGUUCGUGUCCAUGGGCCAAUCAGCGGGGAGUUUUGAGCGUCUCGGCCAAUAGAAAUGCAGCUGGUGUUCAGUUUAAAUCCAGGCGGUUGAAAAAGAGCGAAAC